This 596-nucleotide ribosomal RNA is filed under the name uncultured bacterium. Its description in RNAcentral is "bacterial SSU rRNA". It matches the Rfam family "Bacterial small subunit ribosomal RNA", at positions 60 to 642 of the family's 1533-position model. The record is from RNAcentral.
AGUGGAGCGACGAACCAGGCUUCGGCCUGGGGCAAAGCCGCGAACGGGUGAGUAACACGUGGGUAACCUGCCCCGAUGAUUGGGACAACCCGAGGAAACUCGGGCUAAUACCGAGUGUGCCCCCCGGCCAUAAGGCCGCUGGGGAAAGGAAGCUUCGGCCUUCGCAUCGGGAUGGGCCCGCGGCCCAUUAGCUUGUUGGUGAGGUAACGGCUCACCAAGGCGACGAUGGGUAGCUGGUCUGAGAGGACGAUCAGCCACACUGGGACUGAGACACGGCCCAGACUCCUACGGGAGGCAGCAGUGGGGAAUCUUGCGCAAUGCGCGAAAGCGUGACGCAGCAACGCCGCGUGGGGGAAGAAGGCCUUCGGGUUGUAAACCCCUUUCAGUUGGGACGAAGCUCCGCCGGUGAAUAGCCGGCUGGAGUGACGGUACCUUCAGAAGAAGCCCCGGCUAACUACGUGCCAGCAGCCGCGGUAAUACGUAGGGGGCAAGCGUGGUCCGGAAUCAUUGGGCGUAAAGAGCGUGUANGCGGCUCGGUAAGUCCGCUCUGAAAGCCCGGGGCUCAACCCCGGGAGGCGGGCGGAUACUGUCGGGCU